GAUGAACGCUAGCGGCAGGCUUAAUACAUGCAAGUCGAACGGUAAGUGUUGUAGCAAUAUAACACCAAGAGUGACGUACGGGUGCGUAACACGUAUGCAACCUACCCUUUACAGGAGGAUAGCUCGGGGAAACUCGAAUUAACCCUCCAUAAUAUCAUGGUGUGGCAUCACAUUAUGAUUAAAACUCAGGUGGUAAAGGAUGGGCAUGCGUCUGAUUAGUUAGUUGGCGGGGUAACGGCCCACCAAGACGAUGAUCAGUAGGGGACCUGAGAGGGUGAUCCCCACACUGGCACUGAGAUACGGGCCAGACUCCUACGGGAGGCAGCAGUAGGGAAGUAUUGGUCAAUGGAUGCAAGUCUGAUCCAGCCAUGCCGCGUGCAGGAAGAAAGCCUUCUGGGUUNUAAACUGCUUUUUCUGGGGAUAAAGACCGGUGCGCCGGGCAUUGAAAGUACCAGGAGAAUAAGCCACGGCUAACUACGUGCC
RNAcentral lists this ribosomal RNA (483 nucleotides) under uncultured bacterium. RNAcentral's name for it is "bacterial SSU rRNA". It matches the Rfam family "Bacterial small subunit ribosomal RNA", at positions 28 to 509 of the family's 1533-position model. The record is from RNAcentral.